RNAcentral lists this ribosomal RNA (253 nucleotides) under uncultured bacterium. RNAcentral's name for it is "partial 16S ribosomal RNA". It matches the Rfam family "Bacterial small subunit ribosomal RNA", at positions 524 to 776 of the family's 1533-position model. The record is from RNAcentral.
UACGGGGGGGGCAAGCGUUGUUCGGAAUUACUGGGCGUAAAGGGCUCGUAGGCGGCCAACUAAGUCAGACGUGAAAUCCCUCGGCUUAACCGGGGAACUGCAUCUGAUACUGGAUGGCUUGAGAUUGGGAGAGGGAUGCGGAAUUCCCGGUGUAGAGGUGAAAUUCGUAGAUAUCGGGAGGAACACCAGUGGCGAAGGCGGCGAUCUGGGAAGAUACUGACGCUGAGGUGCGAAAGCGUGGGGAGCAAACAGG